UUCAUCUUUCCUUGCCUUUUUUUCUCACUUCCCACAGCAGAGGAAACUUGCCAGACAAGAAUAGGAAAGUCCCAACAUCACCACUUUCUGAUCAACUUUCCUUUCUUCUAGCCUCACAACAUUUUUCUCCCAUUCUAUCCCCACUUGAGACAAAAGUCUCAAAAAUCCUUUCAUAUUACCAGGAGGAAAGACAAACUUCAUUCUUUGGCUAGAAUGGAUUCACUUGGCAUUGUCCUAAUAAAUCUGCCUUUGAAGCUGACGAAUCAUGUAUGUAUUCAAUCUUUCCUUCUUUCCUCUUUAUCAAUUGCCAUGGAAUUUGUAAAGAGUACUUUGAACCAAGUCUUCCCUUACUUCCAGUCACCCUAACCCUCCCUCAUAGCUUGCAAUUUCACACCUUUAUAUUUAUUUCCUCUAUUUCAAGAACCCAAUCCCGUUGCUUUCAAGGUUCAUUUUAGAAUUUUCCUUGUAGAUUUGACUUUUGCAUCUGAAUAUCAGGACUGUCCUUUCUCAUUUGGAGCUGCCUUUAACUCCUUGAUCAAUUGCCUUGGCCAACAUGGGAAUGUUACUCUGAAACACAAUGCUUUCCUCUGCCUUUGACCUAAACCCUGCAGUGUUCCUGGAGAGCGCUUUCAUGACACCUGCUCAAAGUCAUGCUCUUUUUUUUCUCAGACACCUAAUGCUGUGCAGUUGGUUCCUUUUCUUUUCCAACUUUUUCUCUUUCUACCUUGUGGCCUUAAAUUCUACAGACAAAUGCUGCCAAAAUCCACACAGUUUCUGGUUUGCUGAUACCAGCCAAGGGCUCCUGGUGCUCUCAGCUACUGUUUCCCUCUACCUCAGCACCACUUGAUCAGUUCCCUGAAAAAGAUUCCAGGCAAGGCUUACAUGUAGCAGAUUUUCUCUGGCUCUUCCUGUACUCCCAACAAGUCUCGCCUAGCUAAAAAAAAUUAUUUGAGUUUCUCUGCCCUUUCUGAAUAGGGCACAGAGGCCAUUGCAUAUCUUCCCAAUGUUCUUCAGUGUUGACCUUUCAGUUCUGCAAACUGGGAAUUUGUAGAAACUCAGAUGCCUGCCCAUUAACCAAACAACCCUACUACACUACACACAAUUUUCAAGGUGCAAGUGGGCAAACACUCCACCUGAAGGACUCCAUAUAGCAUACGAGAGUGGUGGUCUCAUGAUAUUCAUGCUAGUUAGAGGCCGGCUCAGAAAUUUCUGCACAGACAAGGAGCAGUAGUCUCACCUGGUCUGGAUGAAGCAGGCUCUGUCAACUCUGUCUAUAUCUAAGGGGAAAAAAGCAGUAAACAUGCAAUAUGAUGUGCCUUGAAAAGCGAGAAAAGUCUCAGUAAGAAACCAAUAGGCUUCCUCAAUUACACUCAAAAUCUGACCUGUCCCACUCUUUCCCACACAAGGAACAGGAUUCUAUGUGUUCUCCAAACUCAUGUUCUAGCUGCUAAGAAAUCAGGACAGUCUAGAGAAAACUUCCUUAUAUGCCCCAUCAUCUCCCAAAUGGGGAUGGGAACAUUGGGAAUUUGGGUCCAUUUGAAGAAGACCAUGCUAUUUUUUAGUCAUUUCCUCCCAGAGGAUUUUGUUCAGAUGAGGAAUUAGCUAAUCUCAAGGUUAUUUUUGAUGUUUGCUAGAUCUACACUUUCCACCUUGUAAUAGCCCCCAAGAAUAGAAAUUGGUACAUUAUUUCUCUUCAUAGAUAAAAGCUGUUGAAUAAUGUCUACCUCCCAAUGAAACUGGCGAUGAACUUUUGAAAAUCCGCAUCAGAUUGCUACCUAAUCUAUGCCAAACAGUAAUUGGAUAGACACUUUAGAAGCAUAUUAGGGAUUAUCCAAUUAUUUUUCUAAGUGUUCACUUCAACAUUCUCUCUACUUUUAGAAUCCUUCGUUGGACUCCAGAAUAAAAGACUGAAUCGAUUUUGGUAGUGGGGGAUGGGUUCCUUUUCCUUCCCAUCUAUUUUUCUUUCUACCUAAUGACCUUAAAACUCUACAGACAACUGCUGCCAAAAUCUACCCAGUCCCUGGCUUGCUGAUAACAGUCUAGUCCUCCAGUUGGUCUCAGCUACUGUUUCCCUCUACCUCAGCACCACUCAAUCAGUUCUCCAAAAACGAUUCCUGUCAAGACUGACAUUUGCAGAUUCUCCCUGGCUCUUGCACUGCUCCCAACAUGUCUCACCUAGACAAAAAAUUGGAUUAGUUGCUCUACCCUCUCUGAAUAGGGCACAGAGGCUAUUUCCUGUCUUCACAAUGAGAUUCAAUGUUGACCCUUCAAUUCUACAAAUUGGGAAUUUGUAGAAACACAGCUGCUUACCCAUUAACCAAACAAUCAUACUACACCACACACAAUUUUCAGGUGCAACUGGGCAAACACUCCACCUGGAGGACUCAUGAUAUUGAUGAGAGAAAUGCAAAUUAAGAUAAUUCUUUGGUACCAGUAUACAUCUCUCAGGUUGGCUAAAAUGACAGCAAAAGAUAUGGAUGAAUGUUGCAGGGGGCUGUGGGGAAAACUAGGACACUAAUAAAUGGUAAGUGGAGUUGUAAAAUGAUCCAACCAUUCUGGAGAGCAAUUUAGAAUAAUGUCCAAAGGGCUAUCAAACUGUGCAUACCCUUUAAUCCAGCAGUGUUUCUACUGGUCUUGUAUCCUCAAGAGAUUCUAAAGAAGGGAAACGGACCUACAUGUGCAAAACUGUUUGUGGCAUCCCUUUAGGUACUGACAAGCAACUGGAAACAGAGUGGAUUCCUAUCAGAUGGAGAAUGUCUGAAUAAUUUAUAGUAUAAGAAUAUCUGGGAAUAUUAGUGUUCUGUAAGAAAAGAGCAGCAGAAUGAUUUCAGAGAUGGCUGGAGAAACUUACAUGAACUGAUGCUGAGAGAAGUGAAUAGAAUCAGGAAAACAUUGUACACAGCAAGUUUAUAUGAUGACAAUUCUAAUGGACAUGGCUCUUUUCAAGAAUGAAGUGAUUCAAGCCAGUUUCAAGGGUCUUGUAAUGAAGAAAGCAAUCUGCACACAGAGAGGAGACUGUAGGGACUUAGUGUGAAUGACAAAAGCAUUUUCACUUUUGUUGUUGUUUGAAUUUUGUAUUCUUUCUCAUUUUUUUUUCCUUUUUGAUCUGAUUUUUCUUGUGGAACAUGGUGAUUGUGGAAAUAUAUAUAGAAGAAUUGCAAAUAUUUAACAUAUAUUGAAUUAUUUGCCAUUCACAGGAGGGUGUAAGGGGAAAGGAGGGAAAAAUAUUAGAACACAUUUGUCAAGAGUAAAUGUUCAAAACUGUUUAUGCAUGUCUUGAAAACAAAAAGCUUUCAUAAUAAAAUAUGAUAAUUUAAAAAAAACAAUGAGGGCAGCAAGCUCAUCAUCCUUGGAAAAUAUUGAGGUGGCAAUAGUUUAAGCCCUUCAGAGAGAGGUUUUGGUGCCACAACUUGAAGCAGAAGGGAGGGAGAUACAGGUUGAAGAGCUCGGAUACUAUUCUGUAUUUGCAAGUUGAUAGCUCUGCCAGUCCAUUUCCACCUUCUCUGUUCUAUGGUUUCAGGGUUCUUGCUUUUCCCAGAAGGGGGAUAAUUGUCAGAGUUAUACUUCAUGCAGCAAACUUCUUCCGAGCUUGUAGGCUUUGACAUGACAAAGUACUUUGGAAAGCAUUUUGUCUCUGUUAUAGACCCAUUCUAAACAUUCAGAUCUCUGCUCAAAAAUGUUGACCUCUAAAGCAACAGGUCUCUACUAUGCUGUAACUAUAUCAAGGCUAAUCAGGUUCCAGACUAGAUCUCCUACAUCCAAAAAACCUUUGUCCCCAACUGAGAUGUUAAGAAAUUAUCCAUUUCUUACUUUCUCUGCUCUUUUCAAUACCCAUCUUUGCAGCAGACUUUGCAGCAGUCUUUGGACAAUACCACCCACAUUUGGAAGGUUUUUCCCCUUUCUUGCUCCUUUGAGAUAUGAAGAAAUUGCCUCUAAAUUGCUUCUGUUUUUUCAGAAUAACCAAAUUCACUUUUCAAGGUCACCUCCCUAACACUGAUGUGCUAUAUAAAGACAUCCCAUCUAAAACUUGAAUAAUGUUUGAAGAGUCAUGUGGGUCUUUCUUUGAGCAGCUCCUUCACUGAGUCAGUCAGUAGGUAAAGUCCAUGUACUGGUUAGUACUUCUCAGCUUCUUGUUUCAAAAGGUUCGAUCUGGCGAACGGUUCCCAAAUAUUCCUUCUCUGAGCUCCGAGUUGGCUCUAACCAGGACUGAUUCCUGCUCAUCAAGAGGCUGCCCAGUCAUUGUUUGGGGUGGGGGAAGGAGGAGCUCGAGGAAGGUUCUGGGAAGGGGAGGAGCAGCCAGUUUGCUGGUCUCGCAUCUGGUUGGGCGCCAUUUCUUGAGUCGGGGGCCACUGACAUCUCGAGGAACUCCGUCCGACUCUCUGGGAUUCUUCCCCAAGCGGGAGACUUCGAUGCUGAACUCAGCAGAUCAGCCCGUGAAAAGGUCCAUAGUCAGACACUAAGGAGCAGAUCUGGAGAAUCGACACUUGCCUUCCUGGACCUGGCAGCAGGGGAGGGCAAUGUGGAAAUGUUCGACAGCAGCCUGAAAGGAAAAUGAUUCCCAGUCAUAAGAUGAACACAAAAGAAAAUAGUUUAAUUCCAUCGAGAUUGUGUUAACUGUACAAAUAGAAAUGACCACUAGAUAGAAGAUGAUUUCCAGCUAGAAGGAUGUAUCAGGAAGCAUUCAUGGAGUGCUUGUAAUUGCCCUCAAAGGAAGGACAACGAUUGCAGAAGG
Molecule: long non-coding RNA, 4732 nt
Organism: Sarcophilus harrisii (Tasmanian devil)
Lineage: Eukaryota; Metazoa; Chordata; Mammalia; Dasyuromorphia; Dasyuridae
Source: Ensembl